This 335-nucleotide unclassified non-coding RNA is filed under the name soil metagenome. Its description in RNAcentral is "partial contains 5.8S ribosomal RNA, internal transcribed spacer 2, and large subunit ribosomal RNA". The stretch from base 1 to 120 matches the Rfam family "5.8S ribosomal RNA", at positions 35 to 154 of the family's 154-position model. The record is from RNAcentral.
GAUGAAGAACGCAGCGAAAUGCGAUAAGUAAUGUGAAUUGCAGAAUUCAGUGAAUCAUCGGAUCUUUGAACGCACAUUGCGCCCGCCAGUAUUCUGGCGGGCAUGCCUGUUCGAGCGUCAUUUCAACCAUCAAGCCCCCGGCUUGUGUUGGGGACCUGCGGCUGCCGCAGGCCCUGAAAACCAGUGGCGGGCUCGCUAGUCACUCCGAGCGUAGUAACACAUCUCGCUCAGGGCGUGCUGCGGGUUCCGGCCGUUAAAAAGCCUUAUUUACCCAAGGUUGACCUCGGAUCAGGUAGGAAGACCCGCUGAACUUAAGCAUAUCAAUAAGCGGAGGA